ACCCAAGAGCUAGCCCACCCUUAAAAUUCAACACAAAACUAUAGAUAAACCCUAAUUUACUAAACAUAAAAACCAAACCAUUUUUCCCCCUUAGUACGAGAGACAGAACGGGGCUCCGGAGCGAUAGAAAUAGUACCGCAAGGGAACGCUGAAAGAGAAGUGAAAUAAUUCAGUAAAGUUAAGAGAAGCAAAGAUUAAAUCUUGUACCUUUUGCAUCAUGGUUUAGCAAGAGACCCCCAAGCAAAAAGAAUUUUAGUUUGUUUACCCGAAACUGGGUGAGCUACUCCAAGACAGCCUAAUAUAUAGGGCAAACCCGUCUCUGUGGCAAAAGAGUGGGGCGAGCUUCGAGUAGAGGUGACAGACCUACCGAACCCAGUUAUAGCUGGUUGCCUGGGAAGUGAAUAGAAGUUCAGCCUCUUGGUUUAUUUAGUCUCAAUUGGCCCACAGCCCUACCCAGACAACAAGAAUCCUAGAGAGUUAGUCAAAGGGGGUACAGCCCCUCUGACCCAAGACACAACUUUAAAAGGAGGAUAAAGAUCAGAUUUAUACAAGG
RNAcentral lists this ribosomal RNA (553 nucleotides) under Atherinops affinis (topsmelt silverside). RNAcentral describes it as "partial 16S ribosomal RNA". It matches the Rfam family "Bacterial large subunit ribosomal RNA", at positions 406 to 1063 of the family's 2925-position model. Lineage: Eukaryota; Metazoa; Chordata; Actinopteri; Atheriniformes; Atherinopsidae. The record is from RNAcentral.